Molecule: long non-coding RNA, 1473 nt
Organism: Carassius auratus (goldfish)
Lineage: Eukaryota; Metazoa; Chordata; Actinopteri; Cypriniformes; Cyprinidae
Exons: 5
Source: RefSeq, a predicted model, not a curated record
UUUAGCUUCAGUUUACGUACAACAUGUUCAAUAUGCUGUUUAAAGGACAAAUUUUCAUCAAUAACAAAGCCUAAAUACUUAUAAGAAGAGACCAUUUGGAUUUCUUUUCCAUCAGCUGUUUUUAUUUUAGGAAGCUGAGAGGGUAGCUGAUUUCUGUUUGAGAAAACCAUAGCUUUAGAUUUGUCCGCAUUUAACACUAGUGUCAGCUGAUUUAGAUGAGACUGAACAGCAUCAGUUUUAUAUAAGAGACUUCUAUAAUAGGCCUAUCCAUUAUACAUGAUAGUAGGCCUACCCAUAAUAGUUUGAAUUAUUUUUGUUUUUUCUUUCUUUUUAUUUCUACUGAACAACCUCCUGGUCCCCAUUGGGAAAACGUUCUGCCUAGGCUAUUUCAUUAUAUUUUAUCCAAUGUAAAAUACUGAUUAUUCCAUUUGUCAAAAUUUUAAAGAUGUCAGGGAAGAGGCAAAGGAGCAUUCUUUCAUGCUUUGCUCUAAAAGAUCAGCUCCCUAAAAAGGUGGCUAGGUCAGAGGAGGAGACUGUGGAUAAGAGAGUGGAGGAGGCAGUUAGGGAACCAGUAGAGGAUGGGUCCAUGAAAGAGACUGUGGAGGACACCAUAGAGGAAACAGUGGAGAGCCCACUGGAAACAGGGAGAAAGAGAGGGUUAAGUGGAGCAGCCACCUAUAGGUGUUCCUUUAAGAAGGAGUGGUCAACCCAAUGGCCGUUCAUCACAAUGGGAACCACCAGCUCUUUUUACUGGUGCUCAGUCUGCAGACAAGAGAGCUCCUGUGCCCAUCAAGGUGUGAGGGACAUCAAACCAAGGAACAGGCUCUAAAAUCAGUUAGCAGUGUUGCACAGUUCUACACACCAGGAACUUCUGUUGGAGGCAUGAGUGUACAAGAGGCCAAGACCAGGAGGGCUGAGGUGAAGGUUGCCGUUGCAAUGGUGCAGCACAAUGUUCCAAUUGCCGAUGCUGAACAUUUCAGCCCCUUGUACAAAUAAUGUUUUGGAGACUCCCCCACGGUUCAUAGCUUUCAGAGAGCAAGCACCAAAACAACGUGCAUCAUAAAUGAAGCAGUGGCACCUCAUAUUAAGAAGGAACUGGUGAUGAAGAUGAGAGAGAAUCCCUUCACACUUGUCACAGAUGGCUCAAAUGAUACUGGUCUAGAGAAGAUGAAUCCCCUCACAGUACGAAUAUUUGACAGCAACAAAGUUGUGCACAGAUUCUUUGAUAUGUGCACCACAAGUGAGCGGUACUGUGGAACUGCUGAAGUUAUUUAUAAAAAAAUCAAUGACACCCUGUAGGAAAGCAACAUCCCUUGGAGAAACUGUAUAUCCGGUUUUGAUCCUGAAGAUCUGGCAGUGGAUGUUGGGUAUUGGUUUAAGGGAAGCACCAAUCGUAAAGGUUACCUGGCAGCUUUAGGUGGUGUUGGCGCAGUGGAUAAGACACAUGCCAUUGGCGUCAGGAAGCAGACAGAC